This 780-nucleotide ribosomal RNA is filed under the name uncultured bacterium. RNAcentral's name for it is "bacterial SSU rRNA". It matches the Rfam family "Bacterial small subunit ribosomal RNA", at positions 653 to 1414 of the family's 1533-position model. The record is from RNAcentral.
GGAGGUUAGUGGAAUUUCCGGUGGAGCGGUGAAAUGUGUUGAUAUCGGAAAGAACGCCGAAAGCGAAAGCAGCUAACUAUGAUACUUCUGACGGUGAUGGACGAAAGCUUGAGUAGCAAACGGGAUUAGAUACCCCGGUAGUUCAAGCUGUAAAUUAUCCUUGCUAGGUGUCUCCAUAACUCUUGUGAUAGCAACUGUUAUCAUAAAAGUUAUGGAGGUGCCGUAAGUUAACACGUUAAGCAAGGCGCCUGAGUAGUAUAUUCGCAAGAAUGAAACUCAAAGGGAUAGGCGGGGGAACACACAAGCAGUGGAUGAUCUAGAUUAAUUGGAUACUAAGCCAAGAAUCUUACCCAGACUUGACAUGGAUUGUGUCUACGAUGAAAGUCGUAUAGCUGUAGCAAUACAGCGCUUUUCACAGAUGGUGCAUGGUCGUCGUCAGCUCGUGCCGCAAGGUGUCUAGUUAAGUCUAGUAACGAGCGCAACCCUCAUCGUUAGUUAAAUAUGUCUAACGAGACUGCCCGCGUAAGCGGGAGGAAGGAGAGGAUGACGUCAGAUCCUCAUGCCUCUUACGUCUGGGGCUUCAUAGAUCAUACAAUGGGUAGAUACAGCGAGAAGCGAUACCGUAAGGUGGAGCAAAUCUUCAAAGCUACCCUCAGUUCGGAUUGUAGUCUGGAAUUCGACUACAUGAAGUUGGAAUUGCUAGUAAUGGCGAAUCAGCCAUGUCGCCGUGAAUACGUUCCCGGGCCUUGUACACACCGCCCGUCACACCAUGGGAGUGGG